Long non-coding RNA from Etheostoma spectabile (orangethroat darter), 1922 nucleotides. RefSeq lists it as uncharacterized. The record is from RefSeq and is a predicted model, not a curated record. The transcript is spliced from 3 exons. NCBI's taxonomy places the organism in Eukaryota, Metazoa, Chordata, Actinopteri, Perciformes, Percidae.
CUCUACAAAGAAAAGAAGUAAUCGCAUAUGAAACCUGCUGCUAGAACGAGCACAGGUGAUCACCUGAGAAAAGAAUGCAUUUCUUCUUCAGCGGGAGGUGUCGCUGGCUUUGCUAAUGUGUCUUUAAUGUGGCCCGUUGCACCCCUUGGAUGUGGAUAUCAAAACGUUUAAAAUCGACCCGCUCACUGGAGGCAGAAAGCGGUGUUAUGGGGGUGUUUGCAGACUAGCGUGCCAUGAGGCCCGGGGCACUAAUCCACCAGCGCCACACUGCCGAAUCCAGGCAUGGGGACAAACAAUGACCCACAGGAGAGAAAUGGCAAUUACCUCCAGCAAGGCGGCCACUUCACACACCUGUCACAACACAGAUGAAGCCAUCAUGCAAGGCCGGUGGAGAGGGACAAAAACGAGGAAGCUUUCCCUCGGUGACCCUUCAGUUUUCAUAGUCUCUCCUCUCUUUCAGCUCAACUAUUAAGACAUAAAGGGGUCAGUCCCCAGACAGCUCCAUCCUCCAUCCUUCAUCUUUGACACAAACCCUUGCAGCAGGCUCUUAUUGGUAGCCACAGAGCAUUGAAAUCAGGAUUAUAAGUGUAGCUUUUUUGUUUUUACUCUGAGAAAAUGGCUUCCAGAUUCUGGAUUUUGUCAAUUAUCGUUUCUUUUGUGAUUUUCCUGAGUGGGGAGGUCUAAUUUUCUUUAUUUUAUUGAUCAAACAUAAGUCACAUACACAGUUUCCCAGAGAGCUUUAAAGCGGAAGAUCAGUUUGAGACGUAAAAAAAAGGGCAAAUCAUUUAAUCGUUUGAGUGAUCUGAAGCAGUGCUACGAAAAAAUAUCGCACGAAGCGCAGCAACAACAACAAAAAAAUGAAUAUACAUUUUGCCAUAUGUCGCCAUUUGGCAUCUGGCGUCCUGCUGUGCGAGUUGAUGUGAAGGUGGAAUCUGGUUUGACUUAACCAUGUGGCACAUACAGGCCUAAACAAACAUGUAUUUCAGAUGUCUGGCUCUAAAAACCAGAUAAAAAAGCAGCGGCUAUAUGAGGAAAUAAUUUGCUCAUAAAAUUCAUAGAUCUACUUGAGUGUGAUUCCUUCAAGUGUUUUAUGGCUCCCUCUUAAGAUAAUGAAACAGAAAUAAAAUCCCAUGGGGGAAAGAUCUAAGUUCUGUUUACAGUCGUUCACAUCAGUGUGAUUUGCUUUGAUGAGAUUUGGUCAUUUAUUGUCAAAUUUACUCAUUUAUCAGUCUAACCUCACACACUCAAUUUGAUGCGCACAAAGAACAGCGGAUCCUUUAUUCUCGGCAGAAAUUCCUCGCAUUUGAAUACCUUUGUGGUAUGAAAACCAUAUCAUUAAGUACACCGCAGAAAUAGAGAAAGCAUCAGAUUCCAUUACCGUGUACAACUGCUCUACAACUCUUGACUUUUUUUUUUUCCCUUCCAGAAUUCGCAGGAUGUGUACAGACCAGUGUUCAAAUCCACCCCCAGCCAUAGCAAAACGACCCAAUUGCCUUGUGAUUAACGUACAAUAAAAGAAUGUGACGGCUUAAAGAAGCAGCAGGAAAAGCUGCCCAGUGAAAGAUGGGUGUAUGGCGCACUCUAUAAUUAAGCCAGUCUGCACUUGAUGAAAGUAGAUCACACUGGCGGGCCACGGCUUCACAGCCAGUUUGUUUUUACGACAUAAUUACAGUCCAAAUCAAAUGAGAAGAUUUAAUAUUGCACCACGACGAGCAUGUGGCCAAUGCCAACAAUGACACUGACCCCCCUGAGGCGAGGUGUGUGUGUGUGUGUGUGUGUGUGUGUGUGUGUGUGCACGGGCAGGUCGGGCGUCAGGAAGCCGACAGCAGAGAAGCUUCCCCACCGCAGUAGCUGUGUACCUGUGUCUGGGCCCCUCUGGGAGGUCUGACACCAAUGGAAUUACGCUGACAGUGGGACGGAGG